GGGGCGGCAAGGGGCUGGCCAGCUGCCGGCGCGCGGACGCUCUAAUAUGGAUGCGCAUCAGGUCCUGCAGGCAGGCGAGCGCCGGCGGCUCGCCGGGAGCUGGUUGGUAGAGUCAGCAGCUCGGGAAGGGGAAAGGAGCGGAGGAAGGGGAGGGGAGGAGGAGGAGCAGCCCCGCGGGCGCCCGGGGAGAGGGCCGCCGCUCAUCCCCGCCGCCCACGGCCCUGAGAGCGCACCGCCGCAGCGUGGAGCGCGCGCGGGUCCUCUCCGCCAGGAAAAGGCCGGAGUUUAAGAAGCACAGCAUACUUUACCGAUGCCCACGCCCACCCCCCUCCCUGCCCAUCCCAAAAGUUCUCUACCAGGGUGCUCCCGCUCGGACCCGGACGCCUCCCUUGCACCCCACUCCAGCGAACGAAACCCCGCGCGCGGACUUACGGCGGGGCAAGGCGCUGAGCUCCGCGGCAUGAUGGAGCGAGGGCCGGUGGGCUGCGGAGCGGAGGAGAGGAGAGAUGCAAACUUGUUCCGGAAAAGGAAUCAAAAUGGCGUUUCUGGAUGUGCAAAGUUCAUCAACUCCGCAGUCACUUCCCCUCCUCCUCUUCUCCCACAACGAGGGAGGUGGGCGAGGCGCUGGCGCCCCCGCGCCCCGAGCCGUGGUCCACGGCCGGCCUCGCCCCCGGCCCUCUCCGUCGCCCGCACGCCCGGCCGCUCGCCCUCCCUCGCUCACCCCGAUAAGUAGACACAUCACGUGUUGCUCCUGCGAGUCUCCUGGGGACGUGUUACUGAGCGGCGGCUCCCGCCGGGGGGGGCGCCGCGCGGUACCCGCCGGUCCCCACGUCGCCCCCGCCCACGUUGGAGCGGAUGGCCGCGGUUUCCAUCCCCAUAUGGACCGAAGUGGAGCCCCCUGCCCCCCGCAGCCCCAGACGAUGCUUAAGCGGGGCUGCUGCGCCCCGAGCUGUCUAGGAGCCACUGUGUCCCUAUCCCGCGAUGGAGGGCAGACGCUGUGUCAUUCACGUCGCCCUCCAAGGCACCAGGGAAGCUACAUGCAAUAUCUCUUUCUCUCAGAGGGCUCCCGUUUCAUCUCGGUGCUGCGUUCCACCUCCAUAGCUCUGCCACCACGACUCACCCCAGCUGCAGUGGCCCAAGUUAUCACAAAGCCCAGAGAAACCAGGCCUCGGCUGGCUUCCUUCAUAAAGGAGAGUUCGUCUUUCCAACUAUUAGUGCUUUUCCUACUGAGGUUUUGAAAGGGGCCUGUUCUGCGUCUUUGGAAACAUCUUAAAAAGAUAAGGAUGAUUGUGGUGGUUGAAAAUAAACACUACCAUCCCACCCCAAAUUCUAAAGGCAAAUGUACUUUCUUAACUAGUUGCAGAGAAUACGACUGUAGAAUUAGGCCUUUGAGACUAGUUAGGCAAGAUGAUGUUAUACCUACAGAAAGGCUGGCACCACUCUCUUUGUGACUUUUGACCCUUCCUCCACCAUGCCAGCUGGGGCCACUUGUAUUAAUGCAAAGUUGUAAGCUAAGUUUCUGGGCUUUAAUUUACCCCUUUCAACUGAACUCUGGUUUUCAGGGCUGCAUAUAUAAGUGUCUGUCUAGGGCUGGGCUAAAUGGAUGGCUCUUGACCAAGAUAGAACUCCCUAGAACAAAUCAAAAGCAGGUGGACCAUUACCUCUGACUCGAGAUAGUUAAACCAUGGCCCAAGAGGGAACUGAUUCAGCUGGCUGUUUCUCUGACUUCCAGAGUUGUCAAAAUUAAGUUUUCAGAACCUGUUGUGUUUCCCAGGGACUACUGUUUACUGAGGAAAACACUACCCAGAGAAACUUUAGCAGUUGCAUUUUUCUAAGCCUCUCUCCCACCCCUACUGCCCGCGCCCAAAUGUAUUAGCAAAUGUUUUUUUGAAGACAGCUCUGUCCUGGAGGAUAUGGCAGCUCUCUAAAUGGGAGUUAACAGCUCACACACAGUCAUCAUAGAAAUUGGUGUCUUGUGCUUCCCAGCUAUAACGUGUUUCACGAAGAGGGCAGCAGGAGCUCUCUGUGGGAAAUAUUACUUUAUUUCAUUGGCCUGUUGCUGAUUCAAGAGUUAGCCUUUCGGGUGACAGUGUGAUUGUGAAGACCUUGUGGAUCACACCCCCUUUAGCUAGUGUAUGGAUGAGUGGAGGAAUGGGGAUAAAAACUAAAGGACAA
Molecule: RNA transcript, 2175 nt
Organism: Choloepus didactylus (southern two-toed sloth)
Lineage: Eukaryota; Metazoa; Chordata; Mammalia; Pilosa; Megalonychidae
Gene name: homeobox protein unc-4 homolog
Exons: 2
Source: RefSeq, a predicted model, not a curated record